This 281-nucleotide ribosomal RNA is filed under the name Chloropicon mariensis. Its description in RNAcentral is "partial Bacterial large subunit ribosomal RNA". It matches the Rfam family "Bacterial large subunit ribosomal RNA", at positions 200 to 528 of the family's 2925-position model. The record is from RNAcentral. Lineage: Eukaryota; Viridiplantae; Chlorophyta; Chloropicophyceae; Chloropicales; Chloropicaceae.
AUCUAAGUACCUCGAGGAAAAGAAAUCAACCGAGAUUCCCCUAGUAGUGGCGAGCGAACGGGGACUAGCCCUUAAGUGGCUUUGAGAUUAGCGGAACGCUCUGGAAAGUGCGGCCAUAGUGGGUGAUAGCCCUGUACGCGAAACGCUCUUAUCAAUGAAAUCGAGUAGGACGGGGCACGAGAAACCCUGUCUGAAUAUGGGGGGACCAUCCUCCAAGGCUAAAUACUACUGACUGACCGAUAGUGAACUAGUACCGUGAGGGAAAGGCGAAAAGAACCCCG